This 113-nucleotide ribosomal RNA is filed under the name Candidatus Shikimatogenerans bostrichidophilus. The record is from RNAcentral. Lineage: Bacteria; Pseudomonadati; Bacteroidota; Flavobacteriia; Flavobacteriales.
AUGGGUAAUUUAUAGUAAUAAAAUUUACCUCUAACCAUUCCGAACAGAGAAGUCAAAUUUAUUAUCGCUGAUGGUACUAAUUAAUUUAAUUGGGAGAGUAAGUAUUACCCAUU